RNAcentral lists this ribosomal RNA (483 nucleotides) under uncultured bacterium. Its description in RNAcentral is "SSU rRNA". It matches the Rfam family "Bacterial small subunit ribosomal RNA", at positions 26 to 524 of the family's 1533-position model. The record is from RNAcentral.
AGGACGAACGCUGGCGGCGUGCUUAACACAUGCAAGUCGAGCGAGGCCCUUCCUUCGGGAAGGUGCCCUAGCGGCGAACGGGUGAGUAACACGUGGGCAACCUGCCCCUAGCACUGGGAUAACUCCGGGAAACCGGGGCUAAUACCGGAUAUGACCUUUGAGGGCAUCCUCGAAGGUGUAAAGGAUUCUGGCUAGGGAUGGGCCCGCGGCCUAUCAGCUUGUUGGUGGGGUAAUGGCCUACCAAGGCGACGACGGGUAGCCGGCCUGAGAGGGCGACCGGCCACACUGGGACUGAGACACGGCCCAGACUCCUACGGGAGGCAGCAGUGGGAAUAUUGCACAAUGGGCGAAAGCCUGAUGCAGCGACGCCGCGUGAGGGAUGACGGCCUUCGGUUGUAAACCUCUUUCAGCAGGACGAAGCGAAAGUGACGGUACUGCAGAAGAAGCACCGGCCAACUACGCGCCAGCGACGCCGACGGUAAC